Cyprinus carpio carpio is the source of this 1257-nucleotide long non-coding RNA. The record is from Ensembl. NCBI's taxonomy places the organism in Eukaryota, Metazoa, Chordata, Actinopteri, Cypriniformes, Cyprinidae.
CUUAAUAUCAGUGUCUUGGACUUUUUUAUUUAAUAGUGAAUAAAUCAUUCUGAGACUUUUUAGACUAGAUAAAAAUCACAAUUUUAGCUCUUAUUUUCCUUCUUUAUUUUCCUAUGUGUAGUUUUAUGAGAAAAAGGUAUUUCUAAAAGGUAACAUAUUCUAAAACGUUUAACAAAAGAUCAGAUACAUCUCGUAGACCUGAACAAUAACUGACAGGUGCAAAAGACAAAGUGAUGUAUCAAAAAUGCAGAAUAACGUGCACAAUUUACACACUUAAAAGAUCUUGACAUUUUGCAUGACACUUACUAUACAUAAGUGCAAAUUAAAAUUAAUUAGAUUGCACGUUGUCAGAAUCAUCUUGAAUGAAUUAGAAUAGCUCUAGAACAUAAGCAGGCAUAUUUUUAAAAGACUCUCCAGAAGUAAUUCAUUAGUCUUAUCCUGCAUUUGAAGAGGGUUCAUUGUCAAAAUAGCCACUUGUAUUUGGCUCUUCUGGUUCUCCUGUGAACAGUUUUAAUCCCCACAGCGCUGUUCGGCCAGUGUCCAGUGUAUAUACUUAUCAUAUUUGUCCAGCACAGGUGCCUGUUUCAAAAAGCUGAUUUACUGGCUCUGACCGGCUCCGAGGAAUUGAGCUUUGAUGAAAAGUGUCUCUAACAGUCUACAGCUGUUUUGGAUUACACUCGCUUAAUGUUGCUUUGGCCUCUGUUUAGCCUUUUGAUAUUGGUGAUUAUAAUUGUGGAUAUCAAUUUAUCAAUAUUUAAUGCAGAGUAUCAGACAGAAAUUCUUUGUGUAUAUGUUUUAUUAAUGAACUUUAUGAGAAUUUGUAUAUAUAUUAAGACUGUAGUUUUAACACGGUAAUCUAAUUUAAUUAGUUAUGAAAACUUAAGAUCAUCUUACAUUUAAAAUUUCGUACUGCUGACGAAUUUGAUGUGGGACAACAACUCACAGUGUGAUGUAUAAGACAAAAUGCAUAAGAUUCAUAAGAUCAAAAAAUUCAUACGUUUGGGGAAAAAUGUCCCUGUAUAAGUUUUUGUCUCAUUUAUAUCAUAUGAUAUAGCUAAGAAACAUCACACAGGCAACAGUUGCAAUAUUACAUGAGUGCUGUUUGUCCCGAAUAGUACGAGUGCAAAUGUGAUACUGAUUUUUACACAACAUUGUCUAUAUAUUACCUAUAAAACCACAGAAGAAUUGUUGUGUGUCUCCAAGCAACAAAGCGGUGAUUCAUUUCUGAACGAAUUGAAUGAAUAAAUGACAUUUACC